This 426-nucleotide unclassified non-coding RNA is filed under the name Hevea brasiliensis (rubber tree). The record is from RNAcentral. Lineage: Eukaryota; Viridiplantae; Streptophyta; Magnoliopsida; Malpighiales; Euphorbiaceae.
UCGAGGCAUGAGCCAAGUUGGAAUUUCAGCUACCAGUCUGGUUUAUCGCCGGAUGGGAGUUGGACUUACAAUUGGGCUGCAGGUUCAGGUCCUGGUGGAAGCACUUUUAGCUUUGGAUCAGGUGCUGGUUGGAGGCCUGAUGGUGCAACUGUAGGGUUUGGUUUCGGAUGGGGCGGAUCUAGCAGUGCAGGUUAUGGAUUUUACGGAGGCAGCAGUGGAUUUGGAUUUGGUGGAGGCAGUGGUGGUUUCAAUUUUCAUCAUAAUUUUGGUGGCGCCCAAGGUCAACGCACAUCUGGCCAACCCAGAACCGACGGGACUCGCAAUCGACUGGGUGGGAACAAUUGAUUACAACUCUGUAUGAUUGUAGUUCUUUUAUUAAGGGAUAGAUGUGAGGGUUGAACAUGACCACCUGCUCUAUGAUGUAUU